Podarcis muralis (Common wall lizard) is the source of this 1552-nucleotide non-coding RNA. NCBI's taxonomy places the organism in Eukaryota, Metazoa, Chordata, Lepidosauria, Squamata, Lacertidae. The record is from RefSeq and is a predicted model, not a curated record.
GCCAGCCAAGUCCCUCUGCAAGAGGCCGGCUGCUUUGAUCCGUUGGUCCUAACAGAGGAGACGGGCUGGAGUGGGGGACGUGGGAAAGGGACGGUUCUGGCGGUGAUUAUAAAAUGGCAAAAGAGGGUCUGAGGCCAGGGACUCGUUUGCCUGCCCCAGGAGCCUGUUAGGACGCCUGUGAUGUAACAGUGAAGGUAAGGGUUCCACUGACCAUACACAGAAUGCCCUGGAGCGCAAAGGUUCCAGUUGUCACCGUCUCCCUUGUCCCUGAGAUAUCGGGCACCCUCUAUUGAAAAGGCGUCUGUUGUACCACGAGGCUCUUUCUCGAUUUGGAUCUCCAGAGGCCUGGAAGGCAGCGAAGAUGACCAAAGAAGAACGCAAUGUGGAGGCCAGCCAAAAACAGAGGCUGUGGGAGACUUCUCAAAGCUGUUUGUCGGCCUCGGCAAUGUGUCCAGGACGGAUGUCAGCCCCUUCCGGACCUCUGCGAGGAGCAUCAGUCUUCAAAAUGAAUAUCUGAAGGGAGCGUAAGGAGGAUUAAGGUGGCGAGCACUGCGCUCCGACACAGAUGCUUUUAUUUAUUUUCAAGUUUAACUGCUUUCGCAGUUGGGGUUGCAAAUAUCGACGUUUGCAAACCACCCGAAAUACUUAGCUACAUGGGUGGUAAACAAACAAACAAACGUGCUCCUUCGUGGGGCUAAACUGUGGAACUCCCUGCUGCAGGAAAUCAUCAAAUUAGAUGGCUUUAAAAAAGGGGAAUCGGACAAAUUUGGAGAGGGUAAGGCAAUCAGUGGCUGCUUAGCUUGAGAGGGAUUUACUCUGCCCAAGUAAGCAUGCACAAGAUUGCAACCCUUAAGCGUUUUUAAAUUCCACUGAUUUCAGUGUUGACUCCUAAAGAAAUAUUUCCAUUCCUUUGAAGGCUUCCAGACUGGUGUCCAUUUAUGAGGUGGGGGGCUUCCCAUGUGUGAAAAUAAUUUUGUAGCAACCACGUGCCACCUUGCUUGCAUCGAAACUCCAGCUUCCCCCCUUUCUUUUUGCAUUUAAUCUGGGUUUUACCCUUUCUGGGGGCGAUCCAGUAAUCCCUUUCUGGAAGGCCAUUGCUGCCCUCAUGAUCAGAGGCAGCCUUGCUGUGAAUAUUAGUUGAGAGUUAGCAACAGCAGGAGAGGGCAGUUCGACGCCUCGCCCUUCUUGUGGCCUUCAUAAGAACGUAAGGACUCCCCUGCAGAUGGAUCAGGCCAAAGGGGUGUGGGAAAUUGCAGUUAAACAUAAUUUGCAAGCAUAGAGCUAGUUAAGGCACGAAAGGGUUAAGACCACAGAGCUGCACUGCUAGACUCAGUUAGGUCACACACCCCUCGUCUCCAGUGAGGGAGGAAGUGAAUCUCCUUUCCUUAUUCUUCUUUGUGCCAUGUAACAUACCAGGAAGGACAUGUCUGAUCUUGAAACUAUCUUUCUGUAUUUUGUACCCAAGAGUAUUCUACCUGUGUUCUCCUUGCUGCCACGUGGAAUGAUACAUGAACCAGACCUUUGGAUUUUGCAAGUAAAACUUUUAAACUUA